This 458-nucleotide ribosomal RNA is filed under the name uncultured organism. RNAcentral describes it as "partial 16S ribosomal RNA". It matches the Rfam family "Bacterial small subunit ribosomal RNA", at positions 330 to 805 of the family's 1533-position model. The record is from RNAcentral.
CGUACACUCCUGCGGGAGGCAGCAGUGGGGAAUUUUACGCAAUGGGGGAAACCCUGACGUAGCGACACCGCGUGAGCGAAGAAGCCCUUUGGGGUGUAAAGCUCUGUCAGCUGGAACGAAAACAAUGACGGUACCAGCAGAGGAAGCAUCGGCUAACUACGUGCCAGCAGCCGCGGUAAGACGUAGGAUGCGAGCGUUGUCCGGAUUUAUUGGGCGUAAAGAGUUCGUAGGUGGUUUGUUAAGUUUGGUGUUAAAGAUCGGGGCUCAACCCUGGGACUGCACUGAAUACUGGCAGACUCGAGUGUGGUAGAGGCUAGUGGAAUUCCCAGUGUAGCGGUGAAAUGCGUAGAUAUUUGGAAGAACACCGGUGGCGUAGGCGACUAGCUGGGCCAUAACUGACGCUGAGGAACGAAAGCCAGGGGAGCGAAUGGGAUUAGAAACCCCUGUAGUCCCAUGAU